AGACCCGAAACCCGGUGAUCUAGCCAUGGGCAGGUUGAAGGUUGGGUAACACUAACUGGAGGACCGAACCGACUAAUGUUGAAAAAUUAGCGGAUGACCUGUGGCUGGGGGUGAAAGGCCAAUCAAACCGGGAGAUAGCUGGUUCUCCCCGAAAGCUAUUUAGGUAGCGCCUCGUGAACUCAUCUCCGGGGGUAGAGCACUGUUUCGGCUAGGGGGCCAUCCCGGCUUACCAACCCGAUGCAAACUGCGAAUACCGGAGAAUGUUAUCACGGGAGACACACGGCGGGUGCUAACGUCCGUCGUGAAGAGGGAAACAACCCAGACCGCCAGCUAAGGUCCCAAAGUCAUGGUUAAGUGGGAAACGAUGUGGGAAGGCCCAGACAGCCAGGAUGUUGGCUUAGAAGCAGCCAUCAUUUAAAGAAAGCGUAAUAGCUCACUGGUC
This 442-nucleotide ribosomal RNA is filed under the name Salmonella enterica subsp. diarizonae. RNAcentral's name for it is "partial 23S ribosomal RNA". It matches the Rfam family "Bacterial large subunit ribosomal RNA", at positions 711 to 1150 of the family's 2925-position model. Lineage: Bacteria; Pseudomonadati; Pseudomonadota; Gammaproteobacteria; Enterobacterales; Enterobacteriaceae. The record is from RNAcentral.